Molecule: long non-coding RNA, 947 nt
Filed under: Pongo abelii (Sumatran orangutan)
Lineage: Eukaryota; Metazoa; Chordata; Mammalia; Primates; Hominidae
Description: lincRNA
Source: RNAcentral
AAGAAGAAGGGGCCACCGAGACCCCAAAAGAGUCACGGAGACAGACGGACAAAACGACCGACACAACCAGGGACAGUCAUGUUGUAGCCACCACCUAGGAGCUGGGACUGCCCACCUGCUCACCAUGUCCGACAUUCCUAUCACCCCUCAGCAGGGAGGAAAAGUUGCCUAUCUGUUGGGUCAGAUUUCUGAAGACUGAUGAGGCCCAUUUUCUGACAUCCUUCCAGUUGGAUUUCAACUGGGUUCUGCCGAUGGGAUGUAUCCAUGUGAGAUUCUGGAACUAACAUCAGAGAGAGUCCAAGCUUCUAACUUUUAUCAGUGGCAGUGACAACAGUCAAGCAGCAUUGAUGACAAAUGGCAAGAGUUUACAAAGUACCAGUGACGUGCCUGAUAGAAUCUCCCCACAAGAUGGAAGCCAACUCAUCAGAAGCCUGGAAAGCCCGCCCAGCGUGGGACCUCUGUGGGUCCAGGAUCUUGGAAUGGCAUCCCAUGGUUUAAUCUUCCAGAUUCAACCAAAUAAAUUUACCCCACCAUGUCAUGGACCCAAGCUUCCUACCAUGUAUCCUUAGCUUAAAUGCAAGAUAGUGCUAUCUUGUUCAUCUUGAUUGGAGUGAGAAAUGAAUAGGUCCAUGCACAUAUAUUUCUUUUACCACAACAAGAUGAAGAAGAAAUAAAUCCAUAAUAUUGAUACUUUUGUAUAAGUUGUGUUUACAGUUGCAGUAAGAAAUUUUAUAAUCGUUGAUUUGCUUUAUAUAAUUUCUGCUUGCUUUUUAUGAUAUUUAAAACAAAAUCUAAGCAACAAAUUUUAUGUCUGAUUAGAUUUACAGAAGCUGCUUAAGUGCUUAGGGAUAAUUUGUUCAUCAUACUUGUAAGUCUCCCUUGUUAGGUGUUUGAAGUGUUUGAAUUGGCUAAAUUAAAUUUGUAAUUGUAGUUUCAAAUAUCUAAAG